This 226-nucleotide ribosomal RNA is filed under the name uncultured bacterium. Its description in RNAcentral is "partial 16S ribosomal RNA". It matches the Rfam family "Bacterial small subunit ribosomal RNA", at positions 538 to 763 of the family's 1533-position model. The record is from RNAcentral.
GCGUUGUCCGGAUUUAUUGGGCGUAAAGAGCGUGUAGGCGGCUAGGUAGGUCCGUUGUGAAAACUCGAGGCUCAACCUCGAGACGUCGAUGGAAACCAUCUGGCUAGAGUCCGGAAGAGGAGAGUGGAAUUCCUGGUGUAGCGGUGAAAUGCGCAGAUAUCAGGAAGAACACCCGUGGCGAAGGCGGCUCUCUGGGACGUGACUGACGCUGAGACGCGAAAGCGUG